Molecule: ribosomal RNA, 329 nt
Filed under: uncultured bacterium
Lineage: Bacteria
Description: bacterial SSU rRNA
Rfam family: Bacterial small subunit ribosomal RNA
Source: RNAcentral
GAUCGAACGGCGUGGCGGCGUGCGUUAACACAUGCAAGUCGAACGGAGUGCCUUUAGAAGAGGAUUCGUCCAAUUGAUAAGGUUACUUAGUGGCGGACGGGUGAGUAACGCGUGAGGAACCUGCCUUGGAGUGGGGAAUAACACAGUGAAAAUUGUGCUAAUACCGCAUAAUGCAGUUGGGCCGCAUGGCUCUGACUGCCAAAGAUUUAUCGCUCUGAGAUGGCCUCGCGUCUGAUUAGCUAGUUGGUGGGGUAACGGCCCACCAUGGCGACGAUCGGUAGCCGGACUGAGAGGUUGAUCGGCCACAUUGGGACUGAGACACGGCCCAG